GGCUCUAGAAAUGUUAUUCACUGCAGCCCGAAAGAUGCUACUCGCCUCUAACCCUAAUUUUGAUCGAUCGCUUGAAAGCAUUUCGUUCAUCCUUUUCUGCAGCGGGUAUGACGCCUGCGAUUCCUUUAUCUCGAUCUCAUACUCUCUUUCUAUCUCUUGAGAUAAUCUGAUGCGUGUUGUUAUGGCUAUUUCGAGAAUCUUCUUCUCUGACUUGAAGUCAGGCAAAUGCUCUUACGUCGUCGAGCCAGGGCUACUGCGGUUCUGGGAUGCGAGGAACGUCAAACGCGGUGGUGCGCUGAUGUGGAUCGAUACGCUGCUUAUGGACGUGAAUAUUUAGUCUCUCUGUCCGGCCAGGUUACAUGGGGCUCUCCCUCUAACCCUAACUCCGCUCGAUCGAAGAAUUUGAUAUCGUCUCCCCUCUUCGUGCGGCCGCCGUGACGUCUGAGCUUCGAUAUCUGAAACAGCCUGAGUUAUGAACUUCGCUAUCUAAUGGUCCGAGUUAUGGCUUUUGCGUGUUCAAUCAUCAUAAGCUCUCUCUUUCUCUCUCGAUAGUUUAAUUUUCUCUCUUUAUCAAUCUGCUAUUUUUCAUGGAUUGAUUUUGUUUGUUAUUCAUUUAUAAACUAUUUUGAUGUAUUUUUCAGUGUUUCUACCAUGCUUUGACUUAAAUCUUCAGGGAUCUCAUUCCUAAACAAUGGCUCGAUUCCAUUUUUCUUGGGGUGACGCUGACUAUCACCAUGAGACACUUGAUAAUUUGAAAAUUGCUGCUGGCCACUGUAGGCAAUUUGUGGUGAUCCGUCUUCUUCGAUAAUGGAAGGCUCACAAUGUAAUAAAGGAGGGAUUUUAUAAUGGUAACAUGGUCUUGCUUGACGAGAAGGUUCUCUUCUUCAACCUUAAAACCUUCCAUCUUUUAUUGAUUUCCUAUUCUCCUACUUCUAUAACCCUGCUUUUACAACCCUUUUAAAUCAAG
Molecule: long non-coding RNA, 967 nt
Organism: Brassica oleracea var. oleracea
Lineage: Eukaryota; Viridiplantae; Streptophyta; Magnoliopsida; Brassicales; Brassicaceae
Exons: 3
Source: RefSeq, a predicted model, not a curated record